Molecule: ribosomal RNA, 170 nt
Filed under: uncultured marine bacterium
Lineage: Bacteria
Description: partial 16S ribosomal RNA
Rfam family: Bacterial small subunit ribosomal RNA
Source: RNAcentral
UCCUACGGGAGGCAGCAGUGGGGAAUAUUGGACAAUGGGGGAAACCCUGAUCCAGCAAUGCCGCGUGAGUGAAGAAGGCCUUCGGGUUGUAAAACUCUUUCAUCAAUGAAGAUAAUGACAUUAAUUGAAGAAGAAGCUCCGGCUAACUCCGUGCCAGCAGCCGCGGUAAU